AACGAACGCUGGCGGCAUGCCUAACACAUGCAAGUCGAACGAGACCUUCGGGUCUAGUGGCGCACGGGUGCGUAACGCGUGGGAACCUGCCCUUAGGUUCGGAAUAACUCCCCGAAAGGGGUGCUAAUACCGGAUAAUGUCUUCGGACCAAAGAUUUAUCGCCUUUGGAUGGGCCCGCGUUGGAUUAGCUAGUUGGUAGGGUAAAAGCCUACCAAGGCGCCGAUCCAUAGCUGGUCUGAGAGGAUGAUCAGCCACACUGGGACUGAGACACGGCCCAGACUCCUACGGGAGGCAGCAGUGGGGAAUAUUGGACAAUGGGCGAAAGCCUGAUCCAGCAAUGCCGCGUGAGUGAUGAAGGCCUUAGGGUUGUAAAGCUCUUUUACCCGGGAUGAUAAUGACAGUACCGGGAGAAUAAGCUCCGGCUAACUCCGUG
Molecule: ribosomal RNA, 433 nt
Filed under: uncultured bacterium
Lineage: Bacteria
Description: partial 16S ribosomal RNA
Rfam family: Bacterial small subunit ribosomal RNA
Source: RNAcentral